UACGUAGGGGGCGAGCGUUGUCCGGAAUUAUUGGGCGUAAAGAGCUCGUAGGCGGCUUGUCACGUCGGUUGUGAAAGCCCGGGGCUUAACCCCGGGUCUGCAGUCGAUACGGGCAGGCUAGAGUUCGGUAGGGGAGAUCGGAAUUCCUGGUGUAGCGGUGAAAUGCGCAGAUAUCAGGAGGAACACCGGUGGCGAAGGCGGAUCUCUGGGCCGAUACUGACGCUGAGGAGCGAAAGCGUGGGGAGCGAACAGG
Molecule: ribosomal RNA, 253 nt
Filed under: uncultured bacterium
Lineage: Bacteria
Description: partial 16S ribosomal RNA
Rfam family: Bacterial small subunit ribosomal RNA
Source: RNAcentral